This 1480-nucleotide long non-coding RNA is filed under the name Cucumis sativus (cucumber). Its description in RNAcentral is "long non-coding RNA (CSAT_LNC001392)". The record is from RNAcentral. Lineage: Eukaryota; Viridiplantae; Streptophyta; Magnoliopsida; Cucurbitales; Cucurbitaceae.
GGUGUGGUUUUUUAAAGACAAAGCAAGAGUUGAUGACUGCAGUUACUACUGUCUCUGGAUGCUUUGUAUUGAAAAGGUCUUAUUAAGUCAAUUUGAAGGUGGAGGGAUUUCAAUCAGGGACCUCUUGUCCUCGGGAGCAUACAGAUGCAAGUUGAAUUGAGCUCAUGUUGGCCAUUUGUGACUAAUUUCCUUGAGAAAGAAUUGAACUUUUUUUAGGUAGAAAUCCGUCCAUAUAGCAUCACGUCCAUAAGGAAGGUGUUCGGUGCAGCCCCCUCAGCCCCAAAUUGUUGGCCAAUGAUUUAGUGGAGAAAAGACCAUUUUUAUCAAGAUUCCAAAUUCAUUUCUCUCCGGGAGGCCAACCAAACUCCAUCAAGAACACGAGAGCCAUCCAUUCUUCAAAUUCAUCUUCUUUGAAGUUCCUUCUGUAGGUGAUGGUCCAUGUCCAUCCAUGUUGUUCAUCCCAAAAAUUGUUCACAGUGGACUGCUUGUAUGCAGCCAAAGUGCAUAGUCGAGGAAAAAGGUUCGAUAUAGGGGCUUCAUUGAUCCAAUGGUUAUGCCAAAAAGAGGCACGGUUGCCAUUCCCAACUUUGAUAGAAACCCUCUCUUCGAUAAGGUUUAAAUGAGACAGGAUGGUUCUCCAUGGACCUUCAAUAUGAUCUGGGAAAGAAGUGUUGGGCCAAGAAGAGUCAGUAUGCUCACCAUAUUUUAGCAUCAAUAAUAUUUGUUUCCAUAAAGCAACUCCUUUGUGGUAGUAUCCUGAAAUCCAUUUAGGAAGAAGAGCCCUGUUUUUGUCUCCAAUGCCUUGUAUGCCCAGUCAACCAUGUGAGAGAGGCUUGAUAAUUUUGUCUCAUCUAACAAGAUUCAUCCCAUUUUGGUUGUUACCCCUUUUUCACAAAAAGGAUCUGUAUGGUUUUUCUAUGAUAGUACUAACCUUGGUGAGGAUCUUGUAUAGGAACAAUAUGUAGGAAAUUUUGUGGCUAGUAGAAGGGUAAGAUGACUGCCUUUGGAAAUGUGUAAGUGAUUCCAUGACUGUAGUCUUCGUUCCACUUUUUCAAAUAUAGUUUAAGGCUUAUCAAAUAGGGAAGCUUAGAAAAAGCAAAGUUCAAAUGUUUCUUCCUUGAUCUCUUUAUUUUUUAGGUUAUAGUUUUUAGUGCAUCUAGAAUGAUCGCUUAUGGAAUCCUAAUCCUUCAAGCUCUUUUGGUUUCUCUUUAUAGGGAAGCUUAGAAAAAGCAAAGUUCAAAUGUUUCUUCCUUGAUCUCUUUAUUUUUGAGGUUAUAGUUUUUAGUGCAUCUAGAAUGAUCGCUUAUGGAAUCCUAAUCCUUCAAGCUCUUUUGGUUUCUCUUUCUCCAUCUUAUCUUGUCUAGUUUCUCUCAUCCAAUAAGACUUUGGUUCCAAGAAGGUUUUAAAAAAAUAGGUAAUAAAUUAAGCUUCCAUUGGGAGAAAUGAAAGCAUAAACAAGGGCGAGAAGAGAUAAAUGAAG